UUCAACUACGCUUGCCAAAGUCUAUCCCUUUGCUAGAGGGGAAGGUUAACUGGACUCUUACAGUUAAAGUGAGGGGUAAAUAAAGAACUGCUCUACAUAUUGCCAUAUUUGCAAGUUUUUUUAUAAAGGCUUCGACCAUCUUAUUAGAAAGCUAUAGCAGAUUCGUGUCUUGAAUGAUAUGGUUCAGAUGGGAGUUUAGCAGAGAACCAAAAGUAGAGCUACUGUGGUUCAAUAAAGAUUGUAACUGAUUCUUGGAACUAAUUCUAGAAGCAGCAGUAGCUUUUGAUGAUUGUAUUAAACCAUUAGAAUUGUGACGAGUGCAAAUUUCUAGGGGAUGAAUUUUGACUGUUGCGAUUGUAUCCCACAGUUUUAUCAAUGGCUAUUAUAGUUAUACACC
Molecule: unclassified non-coding RNA, 397 nt
Filed under: Hevea brasiliensis (rubber tree)
Lineage: Eukaryota; Viridiplantae; Streptophyta; Magnoliopsida; Malpighiales; Euphorbiaceae
Source: RNAcentral